RNAcentral lists this ribosomal RNA (253 nucleotides) under uncultured bacterium. Its description in RNAcentral is "partial 16S ribosomal RNA". It matches the Rfam family "Bacterial small subunit ribosomal RNA", at positions 524 to 776 of the family's 1533-position model. The record is from RNAcentral.
UACGUAGGGUGCAAGCGUUAAUCGGAAUUACUGGGCGUAAAGCGUGCGCAGGCGGUGAUGUAAGACAGUUGUGAAAUCCCCGGGCUCAACCUGGGAACUGCAUCUGUGACUGCAUCGCUGGAGUGCGGCAGAGGGGGAUGGAAUUCCGCGUGUAGCAGUGAAAUGCGUAGAUAUGCGGAGGAACACCGAUGGCGAAGGCAAUCCCCUGGGCCUGUACUGACGCUCAUGCACGAAAGCGUGGGGAGCAAACAGG